Small nucleolar RNA from Callithrix jacchus (white-tufted-ear marmoset), 166 nucleotides. Its record names the gene SNORA73. It matches the Rfam family "Small nucleolar RNA SNORA73 family". Rfam says of the family: U17 (SNORA73A and SNORA73B) also known as E1 belongs to the H/ACA class of small nucleolar RNAs (snoRNAs). Vertebrate U17 is intron-encoded and ranges in length from 200-230 nucleotides, longer than most snoRNAs. NCBI's taxonomy places the organism in Eukaryota, Metazoa, Chordata, Mammalia, Primates, Cebidae. The record is from Ensembl.
CUAAUUUUUGUAAAGAAAGGUUUCUCGGGGCUCUGCCUGUGACAUACAGUCCCUUUCCACAACGUUGGAGAUGAAGCUGGGCCUCGUGUCUGCACCUGCAUGUUCCCCCAGCUUCCCAGAGUCCUGUGGACAAUGACUGGGGAGACAAACCAUGCAGGAAACAUGU